Molecule: long non-coding RNA, 2926 nt
Organism: Petromyzon marinus (sea lamprey)
Lineage: Eukaryota; Metazoa; Chordata; Hyperoartia; Petromyzontiformes; Petromyzontidae
Source: RefSeq, a predicted model, not a curated record
GCGUCAGGCCCGGGAUCGAACCCACGACUUCCUGUAAACCAGCCGAGGUAGUUAACAUCGCCACUGUGGUGCCCAUAUAAUACGAGUAUCGGGUAAUCGGUGCUUGGAUAAGGGGAGUCUCGCCGCGUGUACCACAGGCAUGGUCGCACGUUAUAUGGAAGGCACUUUAAAAAUAUCAGCCACUCCCUAGCAGCUCCGGGGACAGAUCGGUCUGGACUGUUGCGCCAAAACAUGCGCCAGCAAAUCACCUUUUUUGACUGCAAUAAAACUUGCAAAGUAGUGCAUGUCAGGUUCUGACAUUCACACAGCUGGGCCCACAAUGUCCUGCCUGAAGGUCAGCUAAUUCAUCAAGUAUUCCCCCUGUCCUCCCUGCAGAUGGAAUGCCAUUUGGUAGGACCCUGGUUUCGCGCUUUACUUAUUUAUUUACUUGCUCGCUUAGAUGUUCACACGGAACUGUGUAUGUGCUGAUGCACCGCUGCUUUUCCGUAGUGGCUGGCAGCAAAUAAAAUAAUUGCCGUGGCUGGAAAUACCAAAACCGCUCGAAUCUUGGACAUCUGCAUAUCGGCCGGGACCAAAAGCCCUGGUGGAUAAGGGAAGGCCAACACUGCAGUUUGCAAACAAACCAGGAUUAGACGCAAUGAAAGCACAGCUCCUAGAGGGAUUCAUGGUUUAUUUGCGGCGGACGUUAACAGCAAAAGGGCUUCUCCACGGUGUGCCGUGAUUCAGAAAGUGUCGAUACAUUUGCAUGCCACGGGGGAACUGAGCUAGCACCGCCGAGAUCAUGGUUCGAGCCCCAUGCGUCUUAUUCCAGCCGUAGCAGGUUCAAUAGCUGCAAGUUCGCCGGAUUUAAUUGUAUAAACCUGCUCAAUAAAGACUGAUAUAUAUUUUAAAAGCAAGGCGCAUUCGUAAGGCAAAGAGGUCCAGUUUCUAAUCGUAGGGCGACCGCUGUCGUUGACUUCCCCACUGAAUGUGAACUCGUUUUUUUUCUUUCUAUCAACCGUGGGAGGGACCAUAAACAAAGCAAAGGUGCAGCCCUGCAAUCUGCAUUGGAGGGAGCUCGAGAGGUGACCUGCGAAAAGGAUGCUUGGCGGAUACUCUUCUACGCCGGUCAGACGUCUUGAAAAAUUGUGGGGGGAGUACCCCAUACUUUUCCCCACCCGUAUCGGUGAAGGAGAUGCUCACACGUCUCAAUGGACUAAGGCGCAUGAGCUCACGCAGAUAUACAUGUAUACACACACACACGUAAAAAAAUUACACCACGUUGUUUUGGUGAUACUUCAUUGGCAGUGGUGCACAAGAACAAACAACAAACAAACAACAACAAUCACAUAUCCGUCAAUAACACUGCGGCCUUGAAAUUGUUAUUUUUUUGUUCGUGAAAAUGGCAAUGUGUCUUUUUUAGCAAUGGCCUUUCUUCAUCCAGUACACAGAGCGCCCAGAGAGAUUUGAGUGGAUACGAGUCGGCGACUGCACUCCCUGUGGCCACAAAGAGAGAUGGCGAUGGCUCGGCGGACGUCUUCAUCCAGCAGUGGAUUAAUCAAGGUUGAUAAUGAUGACUCAUGGGGCAAGUGUUGUUCGCGAGCACCUAUGGAAGACGGGGUGUGUUUCCAGCACCAAGCACGGCCGUCUUUGUCUCCCCAAUGCUCGCGUUAACACAUUACACGAGGUCAUGCCGCGUGUCGUCUGGUACCACGUCCCGACGUUCCGCUCCACGCACGCCGGGAGCUUCUCCGGGAACUGGUUUGCGCGGAGCGAAAUCAUCAGACGUGCUAAACGACGUGCGGCAACACCCGAACAAAAACAUCUCAGGGCGACACAGCCACGCGCGUGAAAAGCCCAAGCAGUAGAACGCCUCUCUAAUUUUGGUCGGAAGCUAAUGAAAACUUCAUAGCGCAUAGAGAGGCCAGGAAAAUUGCGAGGAUAAUAAGGAGUUCACACCGUGGGGCCUGAUGAGAAUAAAAAAAAAACCAGAAUAUUCUGAUGACCAUUUGUCAAAUAGGUGUCUGAAUAAUUACGUAUUAGUAGAGUCACAGGUAUCAAAAAGUGAAACUCACGGUAUCGCAGCACAUAGAGAGGCCAGGAAAAUUGCGAGGAUAAUAAGGAGUUCACACCGUGGGGCCUGAUGAGAAUAAAAAAAAAACAGAAUAUUCUGAUGACCAUUUGUCAAAUAGGUGUCUGAAUAAUUACGUAUUAGUAGAGUCACAGGUAUCAAUAAGUGAAACUCACGGUAUCGCAGCACAUAGAGAGGCCAGGAAAAUUGCGAGGAUAAUAAGGAGUUCACACCGUGGGGCCUGAUGAGAAUAAAAAAAAAAACAGAAUAUUCUGAUGACCAUUUGUCAAAUAGGUGUCUGAAUAAUUACGUAUUAGUAGAGUCACAGGUAUCAAAAAGUGAAACUCACGGUAUCGCAGCACAUAGAGAGGCCAGGAAAAUUGCGAGGAUAAUAAGGAGUUUACACCGUGGGGCCUGAUGAGAAUUAACAAAAAUAAUUUCCGAUGACCAUUUGUCAAAUAGUCGUCUGAAUAAUGACGUAUUAGUAGAGUCACAGGUAUCACAAAAGUAAAAACUCACGGCAUCGCCACGCUUCAACUAUACUUGGUGGUUUGCGGUGUCGAGGUGGUUGGUGCGAGUGGUGUGGUUGAACAGCCAGACGGUGGUGAUGGGACUGGACUGGCCUUUAAUAAAAUCUGUGAAUCGGACUUAAUGCUUGGAUUUCGUUUCGUUCCUCACUGAACAGGGAUUGAAACUUUGAGAUGCACAUCUCAUUUCCGAAUGGGGUUCUCUGAUAAGAUGGCAGCAGAACAUAAUUUACACUUCGAAUUUGCAAACAAACACAACAAUGCAUGAUUAAAAUAGAAUAAAGUAGCACGCAUAACGAUUUAAAUUCUACACAGCAUCAUUCAUGCUAACUGCAUCUGACAAUUUUUA